RNAcentral lists this long non-coding RNA (3768 nucleotides) under Delphinapterus leucas (beluga whale). RNAcentral describes it as "lncRNA (ENSDLEG00000000476.1)". The stretch from base 877 to 948 matches the Rfam family "tRNA". The record is from RNAcentral. Lineage: Eukaryota; Metazoa; Chordata; Mammalia; Artiodactyla; Monodontidae.
CAGCUCAAUGAAUUGUCACAAAGAGAACACCCCUGGGUGUUCAGAUCACAAAACAAUGUUCUAGCACCCUGAAAUUCUCAUGAUACCCCCUCCCAGUUACUACCCUGCCACGGGGAACCAUUCUCCUAAUUCUAACAUUACAGAUUAAUUUUGUCUGUUCUUGAACUCUAAUUAAAUGGAAUAUCUAUACCUGAUGGGGUGGCAGUAUGUGACUCUAUGUGAAACAUUUUUUUAAGUUUGAAUACAGAUUGUUUCAUUUUAUUUAUGCAAGAAACAUUUUUCCAGAUCGUUUCCAGGUCUGGACACAGAUACACAGACAGUCAAAUGUUCUUAUGUUAAGGCUACAGCUCAGUGAAUUUUUACAUUAGAGAACUAUGUAAACACAACGUAGAUCACGAUAUACAUCAUUUCUAGCAUGCCGAAGCCUUCCUUAUCAGUCAAUACCCACUGCUGCCCCUGGGUCUAAUUCAAUGGAUUAAUUUUGCCUGUUUUUGAACUUGACUUAAAUGGAAUCAUAGAAAUAAUCUGAAGCCAAAACAUUCAUACAAUGUGGAAGUUUUGUCUGAAAUUCUGAAACCAGACACACACCAGGACAAAAUUCUGUUCUAUAGCCCUGGCUUGGCCAUUUGAGAUUGCCUGUUUUCUGUUAUUCCCUCUGGAAUCCAAAAACAUAAACAUUUAAGUGAACCCUGCAGUUUGGGGUGAAUUUGGAGUCAGGAUCCUGUUAAUGAAGUUAACAAGUUAAGGCUGAUUCUUCUUUGUAGGUAAUUUGGAACGGGACCUCAGAGCCCCCUGGUCAAAAUCUCUUAGCCUUUGGAGACUGACCGUUGGCUGCAGAGACUGAAUAAUGCAGCUUGAAAAAGAGCCUGCAGGGAAUCCCUGGCGGUUCAGUGGACAGGACUCGGCACUUUCACUGCCGUGGCCCGGGUUUGAUCCCUGGUCAGGGAACUAAGAUACUGCAAGCAGCGGGGCAUGGCCAAAAAAAAAAAAAAGCCUCCAUGUGGUUGCCUGCCUCCAUUUGACAGCUUCCUGAGUGCCCUGUACACCUUUGGGUCCCACCACCUCGCUGGACAGCAGGGCUCUCCGUGGGGCCCACAGGACCUUGGACACGUCUACAGGAAGCCCUGUCAGCAGCUGCAGCUGAGGGCCGCAGAUCUUUUUCCAAGAACAACAGAAAAUGAUCGAGUACCAGGUAAGUGUGACAUUAACGAGCCAACUUUCGGGACUUCCUUGGUGGUCCAGUGGUUAAGACUCCAUGCUUCCAAUGCAGGGGGUGCGGGUUCGAUCCCUGGUCGGGGAACUAAGAUCCCACAUGCCGCACGGUGUGGCCAAAAAACAAAAAAAUGAGCCUACUUUCCCUUCUUGGGGAAACUGUUCUAGAAAAAAAUAUAUGCAUUUCAACCACAUAUGCCUUGUCAUAGGCUGGAUUCUCAGGAAAACAAACUUGGGGAUGGAAAUUUGCACACAGAAGGUUUACUAGGGAGGCUCUUGGAACACCUGUAAGUCAGUGAAGGAAGCAAGGUGGGCAGAGGGAGUUGUUGAACAGAGACAUCAGCUGAUCUUAUAAGAUGCUCUGGAGCUGGGAUGGUCCUCAGUGUUGUCCUGAAUGGAGGCAAGGAGGCCUUUGUAUUCUGAAAUCAACCAGUCAUUGGUUGUAGGCUGCCCCAGGGAGGGGACAUAAACUUGGGUGGGGUCGCUCCCUUUGGCCAAGGGAAAUUCUCUAAAGGUUUCACGCCGGCAACAGCCAGCCAUCUCCUAGCAGCUGGGAGAAGAACCUCAGUACUGCAGGGAGAUUUGGGUGGAAUACCACAGCCUCUCUAUACACAUAGACACAAUGGCCAGAUACUUAUUACACAUACUACUCUACCCUUUUUUCCCAAUUAAAAUAUCCUAGAGAUUGUACCAUGUUAGUACUAAGAACCAUGCCUUUUUUUAAAAAAUAAUGUACAUAAUGCUCCAUCAUAUGCAUGGAAUACUUAACCCAUCCCCCAUAUUAUGGACAUUUCGGUAGUUUCCAAAUUUGAUAUUUUAAGCAAUGAUGCAAGGAACAUUCUUUGUUGGAAUACAGAUGUACAAGGGGAGAGUCCAGUGAGAGUCAACUGUUGACUUCCUGGUAGCCCAGCAAAAAGGCAAACACAGCCCAUGACUUGCAUUGGCUAUAAGGAAGAAGUGUAUUGUUAUUUCCAAGAGAAAACUAGCUUUCCAGGGCACUUCUUUUUUAAGAAGUGUCUUAGACAUUGAUGUUCCUGUGGGUUUGAACCUUCUCUGGGGCCUCUGGGGGUGGUUUCGUCCACUCUUAGGUUGAUGCUGGUGCGUCUGCAAGUGACUCCCACAUCUAUACCUAAGCUGAGGCCUCCUCUGAGAGCUUCAGACCCCUUUGCCCAACAUCUGCACCUGGCUGCCCCAGAGCACUUCAGAUUUAAUGUGUACAAAGUUGAACUCUUGAUUUCUGUCUCCUCUUCCCUGUUUCUCAUCUCAGGAGAUGAUACCAUCCCACCAGGCAAGCCAAGACCCUGAGAUUUUCCCUUGACUUCUCCCCACCUUCCACCUCUCACACUCAGUCACCAAGUCUUGCUGAUUUUACAGCCUCAGUGUUUCUUCCAUCUCUCUCCUCUUCAUCCCUGUGUUUGGUGAAAAAGACAUGGCCUUUUAGGUGCAGGAUUACGUCUUUUCUGCUUUGCUCUGUUCUAUUCCCUCCCAUUCUGUUUCAUCCUAUCCUAUCCCACUCCACCCCAUCCCAUCCCAUUCCAGUUAGCUCUUUUUGGGAAAUACUGCCCAGAACCUGUUGCCGAGCCAAGUCCUGUGCUCUGUGAUGAAGGCUGACUGCUGCUCACGCACUACCACAGUACGUUGUUCUGGCAUCAGAGAGGGAGUCUAGUUGGACCUCCUUUGCAUGGGUCUUAGGGUCUCACGUGCCAGCUUCCAUGGCCUCCACCCUGGUUUUGGCCCUGCCUUCAGAUCCAUCUGCCUGGGCCACUACUCAAGUGCUACUGUUGCAGGAAAAAAGAGCGGGGUACGAGAGGGUGGUCACAUCCCAGGUCUCAGGUGAGUCCCUGGGACGGCUGUCAAGUGUGGGUUCUUGGCUUCGCGCAGGAAAGAAUUCAAGAGCAAGCCACAGUAAAGUGAAAGGAGGUUUAUUCAGGGAGAUACACACUCCACAGACAGAGUGUGGGCCAUCUCAGGAGGCGAGAAGCACCAGGGUAUGUACGGGGACUGUCAGUUUUUAUAGGGGUGGGUAAUCUCAUAGGCUAGUAAGUGGGAGGAUUAUUCCAACUAUUUUAGGGAAGGGGCAGAGAUUACCAGGAAUUGGGCCACCACCCACUUUUUGGCCUUUUAUGGUCCACCUUGGAACUGUUAAUGGCACCUAUGGGUGUGUCAUUUAGCUUGCUGUUGUAUUACAAUAAGCAUAUACUGAGGUAUACUGAGGCUCAAGGUCUAGUGGAAAUCAGUCAUCCACCAUCUUGGACCUAGUUGGUUCUAACCAGUUUAUGUCGUGUCCCCAAUGGCUGUCAUUCUUUUAAAGGUUGUGCCCUGCCCCCUUCCUGUCUCACCACCUUAGGACCCAGCAUUCUUCAAGGAAACCUACAGCCUCCUGAGAGUGGAGAGUGGCUGCUCUCAGCCCUUUCACCUCUGUGGGGCCCUAUCAGUGCUUUUUCCCUCCGGCCACUCCCAGAGAUAGUGGGCCAGUGCCACUGGCACUGUGUGGUGCACUAGGGCUCUCCACCCCACUGACACCCAGGCACAGGUCCUGGGUGCCCCCCCCACCUU